RNAcentral lists this ribosomal RNA (468 nucleotides) under uncultured bacterium. Its description in RNAcentral is "partial 16S ribosomal RNA". It matches the Rfam family "Bacterial small subunit ribosomal RNA", at positions 28 to 507 of the family's 1533-position model. The record is from RNAcentral.
GACGAACGCUGGCGGCGUGCUUAACACAUGCAAGUCGAACGGAAAGGCCCUGCUUUUGUGGGGUGCUCGAGUGGCGAACGGGUGAGUAACACGUGAGUAACCUGCCCUUGACUUUGGGAUAACUUCAGGAAACUGGGGCUAAUACCGGAUAGGAGCUCCUGCUGCAUGGUGGGGGUUGGAAAGUUUCGGCGGUUGGGGAUGGACUCGCGGCUUAUCAGCUUGUUGGUGGGGUAGUGGCUUACCAAGGCUUUGACGGGUAGCCGGCCUGAGAGGGUGACCGGCCACAUUGGGCCUGAGAUACGGCCCAGACUCCUACGGGAGGCAGCAGGGGGGAAUAUUGCACAAUGGGCGGAAGCCUGAUGCAGCAACGCCGCGUGCGGGAUGACGGCCUUCGGGUUGUAAACCGCUUUCGCCUGUGACGAAGCGUGAGUGACGGUAAUGGGUAAAGAAGCACCGGCUAACUACGUG